Molecule: long non-coding RNA, 366 nt
Filed under: Lathyrus oleraceus (garden pea)
Lineage: Eukaryota; Viridiplantae; Streptophyta; Magnoliopsida; Fabales; Fabaceae
Description: Pisum sativum (pea) long non-coding RNA (PSAT_LNC002119)
Source: RNAcentral
AAGAGAAAAUAGUAACAUAAAAGAUAAAAAAGAAAGAACAUAAUAGAUGACUUAUUAGAGUAGAAUAGGCGAGACCUACAUGGAAAAGAAGAUGAGAAGAAUGUGUGAUACUACUAUGAGAGAUUUAAGAAGGUUGAAAUUGAAACCCUAAGUGUGAUUAAGAGAAAAUCGUUUGUAAUUGUAAGAUUAAGGCAUACUAGGUUUGAGGUUUGGGUUGGAUGUGUGAUAAGUGAACUUUGGGUUGUAACAUAAUGCGGUUUGGUUUGGUUUAGUUCGGUUUGCAAAAUACAAACCGCAAACCAAACCAAACCGUGCGGUUUUAUUAAAAAAUGACCCAAACGAAUUCGAACCAAAUGCGGUUUUUUA